AAUCCUUUUGGUAGUGAAAAAGAUAGCUUAACAAAAUUAAACAAAAAUCAAAAUCCUUAAUAAUCCAAAUGCUGAAAAAAGAACUAUAAAGAAUUCAGCAUCUAUGCUUGCCUCAACUGGAAGAUUUUAAAACUAUAUAAUUUUCAACGAGGCUAAUGAACUAUUUAUUACAACCAUGAUAUGUACUUGUUUGAGCUGUUUAAGCUUUUUGUUUUGUCAUUUUAACUAGAGAUCACAAAAGUUGAGUUGGAUUAGACCGAAUUGAAUUGAGUUAAACUAAGAAAAUCUUUAGAACUAGUAUUUUUGUGAAAAAAUUAUUAAAAAUAAUAAUUAUAAUACUUAUGCAAUUGCUAAUAAAAGUAAUUAAAAAAAAAAAAAACAGAAACUAGCCGUUGGGGCUCACAAAAUCAAAUGUUUUUUCUUCAUUAAAGACAGACAAACAAAUCUCUUCUUCUUCAUCCUUAAAAAUACCCAUUCUCUUUCCUUCUCUCUCUAAAUACUCCUCCCUCUCUCUCUCUCUCUCUCUCUCUCAACACUCCUCUCUCUCUCUCUUUCUCUGAUUCUGUUUGAAAAGCUUGCCGCAUUGUUCUUAUCUUGAGAAUUCCGUGAGUAUUGAAUUUAUUUCCUUAAGAUGCACGCUUAAAUUGAAGGAGACACUGUGUUUCAUGAUCAUUUUCUUUUAUGUAAAUUGGAUACUAUCAUUUUAGAAAUGGCAGGUUUUACCAAAUGUUUUGUCGCUCUGUUACUAACUUUCUUUUCUCUUUUUCUUUAGAAACUUUUGGUGCUGGUUUUUUUUUCUUUUUUCUUAUUUUUUAUAUUAGAGGCUAUUUUUCUUUCUUUUUCUUCUUAGAUUUCGUUGCGAUUGAAUUAAUCUCUUUAUUUUGAGACGAGUGUAUUGUUGCUUAAUCUGGAUCUGCUGUUACUGUUUAUCAAAAUUGUAAAUUAUUAUGACAAUAGACAACAAAGGAGGCUUUUCAUUUUUAAAAAAAUGGGUGGAAAAUCAGGAUGUAUAUUAAAGUAGAUCACUUGAUUUUGUAGUUUCCUUUUGUAACUUCAUUAACUGAUCUUUUGAGUACUGGCCUGGGUGCAGACGGCACAGAGAGACUUUACAAUUAAGAUUCUUGAUUAGAGAUUUAUAAUGAAAAUGUCAGGGAUCUGCUGAAUUCAGAAUCAGGUCGAAUUCUAGAUGACCCAGAGGCAUACGCAUUUCUUUCUUUCUUUCUUUUUUCUGAAAGAGUAGAUUUUCUAUUAGGUGUUAUCUCAACUGCUGGUUAUUUUGUGGUUCUCAUAUGCAGAAAGUUGCUGUGGUCGAGAAGUUGGUGGAAGAAACCACAACCAAUGAUCAACAUUUGAGCCAUCUUAUAAGUAUGCGUGACUAGUGAAGAACUGUAUCUUUGUGUUGGUGUAGCUUCCUUUGCCGCUGCAAGCAUUAGAAUAACAGUUUAUUAACCUUUCUGAAAUCACCCAUGAUUAUUAAAAUUUCGAAGACCUUGCUGGAAGUGAAACAGCUUCACAGACAUGCAGAUGGGGCUCAGAGAAUAUCAUUAAGAUAUUAUAUGCAUUAAAUGGGAGCAUGGCUUGAUUUUACUUUACUAAGUUGCUGAAACUAUAAGAGGUGCCGAUAUUGGUAAAUUUGAUAUUAUUCAAUCUUAGUUUGAUGACUCUGAUAACUGUGAUAAGAAAGCUCAGGGAUGGGAAAAGAAGCGGUCAUAUACCCCUGCCGGGACUCCAACUUCCCAGCAAGUUUUGGAAAAUGGGAUUGAAAACAGAGCACCGGAAAAUGAAGACUUCAUUUCAUAUCCGGUGAGACCCAGACAGAGUCUGAGAAAGAGACUCCUACAAAAAGUGAAGAAUGUGGAGACGUUUCAUCAAAGGAAGGAACUCCAUGCUAUUGUCGUUCUAGUUCAGUUAAUAUGAAGAAAAUGCAACAGAGGAGAACGUGAGAAGCAUAAGAGCUUAUGUGACAGAAUUGAAGGAACAUGUUGCCAAACUGCAAUACCACAAGCAGCUACUUGUUUGCUAUAUAGUAUUUGCAGUUCAUUUGGUCCUCUACUACUAUAUUGGCCUGUUAUUUUCAUUUGAAUUUAUGUAGUAACUUAGUACCAGGAAAUUCAUUUUCAUAUUCUUCAUGCUGGAAGCAAAUGAAGCGGCAUUUGGCAAUUCAAGUCCUGCUCCUCGUGCUGGAGAUGAGCUUACAAUUUCACUAUCGUCAAGGUUUUUCUCUCUUUUUAGCCUACGAACUGACACAUUGGUUGGAGCUGUAAUGCUUAAACUAAUUUUCUCUUAUGUCUUGCUUAAACUAACUCGAGCAAUGAGACGUGAAAGAGAGUUUCUGGCAAAGAGGUUGACUUCACGUUUAAAUGCCGACGAGAGAGAGGGGCGUACAUGAAAUGGGGAAGCAGAGGAAACUGCAGUUUGUGAACAAAUCCACAUAUACACAUGAAAGUGCUAAGAUAGUCUGGCAAAGCUUGUAGGAUUCUGCGAGAUUCCAUUUGAGCUAAAGUUUGCACUACCAACAGAUAAGAGACCCUGAAUUAUGGGUGGAACCCAAUUUCAAACCUUCUACAUUUGUGAGAAUUACAUUUCUCAUUUGUAAGUAUUUCCUAUUUCUGUACGUGUAAAAUGAAUUUUAGAGGUUUUUUGUCCAUGUAUCAUUUAUUUAUAUCUUUACUUUUACUCAAAUUAUGGUGUGAUAGGUUGUGCAUAGGAAGAGGGUUUGGAUAUGGCAAUCUUCAUAUAUUUCAAGCAAGCAUUUCCUCUAUUGAUUGUUUGAUACCAGCAGGACAUUGUUGAAGAAGCCUUCAGGACCAUCUAUCCACCAGUAACAGGUUGUUCCUUUUCCAGUAUUAUCUCUAUUUCAAACUUAUCAUCUUUACUUUUCUUCUUUUUUAUAUUCUUUAAUGAGUUCAAAUUACAUUACUAUAUUAUAUAAUUGUAUAAUAUAGGAUCUGAAUUGAAACAAACAUAUGAGUAGUAAAUUAAGAAAACCUAACAAAAUUUAUUAAAGAAAGCAAGUCGAUUUUAACUAAAGAUAAUUAAAAUUUCUAUUACAAUGGUCCUAAUUGACAUGAUAUUGUUUGAGCCAUUUGAUAAGUAUUUAUAAUAGUAACCCAGUGAAAACACUUUAUUUUUGUGUCGGGUUAGCUUCCUUUGCACCGCAAAUAUUAAAUUAACAGUUUAUUAACUUAUUACUAAUAGUGCUUAUUAGCUUAGCUUUAGUAUUAUUUUUAUAUUGAAUGUUUCUUUCUUAAUUUGCUUUUAAUCAUUUUCAUUAUAUAAUUUGUUUGUUUAUUGCUUCUUAGUUAAUUUCCUUUACUAACCUAAAAUCUUUUCAGAGUGACAGGUUCUACUUACCUGAUUUAGAGAUCAUAACUGAUCUUUUUUGGACUUUUAGAAUUAGUUUUAGUUAAUUAAUUAGUUAAAUUUCUUGUUUUUGAUGUUUUUAAGCAAUGAUUGUAAUUAAUUCCUCCCCUUAAUCGCCCCAAUCUCCUUAAUCCUUUUCUGGAUUUCUCUUUUCUCCUCCCCCCUUCUAUGUAUGUUUUAUUUUAUUGCUUUUAGGUUUUUACCACAUAUAUAAGGAAUUAAAAUCAACUUAAAAUUUAUGGGUGAUCACUCACAUGCUUAUAAGAUGAACAUGAAUCCGGCACCUAGAUUUAGGUAAUAAAAUUGUAUUCACCUUGCUUGUAAAGAUAAAAUUUAAGAUACCAAAGUACCUCCCGCUAGGGCUAAUUGGGGUACCAAUUAG
Long non-coding RNA from Ricinus communis (castor bean), 3745 nucleotides. RefSeq lists it as uncharacterized. The transcript has 3 exons. The record is from RefSeq and is a predicted model, not a curated record. Lineage: Eukaryota; Viridiplantae; Streptophyta; Magnoliopsida; Malpighiales; Euphorbiaceae.